CCUACGUGAGGCUGCAGUAGGGAAUCUUCCACAAUGGGCGAAAGCCUGAUGGAGCAACGCCGCGUGGGUGAAGAAGGUCUUCGGAUCGUAAAACCCUGUUGUUAGAGAAGAAAGUGCGUGAGAGUAACUGUUCACGUUUCGACGGUAUCUAACCAGAAAGCCACGGCUAACUACGUGCCAGCAGCCGCGGUAAUACGUAGGUGGCAAGCGUUAUCCGGAUUUAUUGGGCGUAAAGGGAACGCAGGCGGUCUUUUAAGUCUGAUGUGAAAGCCUUCGGCUUAACCGGAGUAGUGCAUUGGAAACUGGGAGACUUGAGUGCAGAAGAGGAGAGUGGAACUCCAUGUGUAGCGGUGAAAUGCGUAGAUAUAUGGAAGAACACCAGUGGCGAAAGCGGCUCUCUGGUCUGUAACUGACGCUGAGGUUCAAAAGCGUGGGUAGCAAACAGGAUUAGAUACCCGUGUAGUC
Molecule: ribosomal RNA, 465 nt
Filed under: uncultured bacterium
Lineage: Bacteria
Description: partial 16S ribosomal RNA
Rfam family: Bacterial small subunit ribosomal RNA
Source: RNAcentral